Molecule: long non-coding RNA, 567 nt
Filed under: Fukomys damarensis (Damara mole-rat)
Lineage: Eukaryota; Metazoa; Chordata; Mammalia; Rodentia; Bathyergidae
Description: lncRNA (ENSFDAG00000026234.1)
Source: RNAcentral
GUGGUCACAUGCUAAAUGUCACAGUGGGUGGCAAAGCUGUACAAGAAGAAGGCGGAAGGUCUGUCACAAAUGAUGGAGGGAGGCAGCCAGUGCUGAAGCCAUGGAUGAAAAUCACUCUGAGAAGCUUUUCAGAGCUUGGCUGGGGACACAGAAAGGUACCAGGUUAUCCAUUUAGGAGCAGGAACACAGAACAAGGUGGCCUGGAUGGAUGAAGUAGAGCACUGAUUCAUGAAGCUUGAAAUACGACUAACUCCUGCUUACUAAGCAAUUACCAGGACCCAGAUAUAACGAUGACUCGCACCAACUGACCCACAGGGCCUUCACACACAAUCUCCAAAGCACGGAUACUGUUGCCAUCACCAUUUUCAAGAUGAAGAACACGAGGUCCCCAGGACUUGCACACGGAGUGAGUGGCACUGCUGGAAUUUGGAUGGCAGUACUGUCUCAAGGCUCUAUGUCCUGCGUUCUUUACACUAGUUUGAAAGUAUCUGUCUCUCAGUAGCUAUCUCUGUUUUUGUAGUUGAGACAUAAACAUUCGGAGAGAGUGGAAGCUCUUCUCACAAUUAC